Molecule: non-coding RNA, 26 nt
Filed under: Homo sapiens (human)
Lineage: Eukaryota; Metazoa; Chordata; Mammalia; Primates; Hominidae
Source: RNAcentral
UCGAGCCAUAGCUAUCCAAAGUGGUC